Aedes aegypti (yellow fever mosquito) is the source of this 574-nucleotide long non-coding RNA. RefSeq lists it as uncharacterized. The record is from RefSeq and is marked validated. The transcript has 2 exons. Lineage: Eukaryota; Metazoa; Arthropoda; Insecta; Diptera; Culicidae.
UGGUUAUCCUCUUCUUAGGGCAUGAGAACAUUUUUCCCGUUCACCGAUCGUUGGUGCGGUGAUCGCCUGCUCGGUGAUUCCCGGUCGUGUUUGGUCGCGCCUCCCUUUCUUUACGCAAAGAAAGGACCAGGCAAGGACUAUAAAACCAAGUCACUCCAAGCAAAUCGGUUAUCAGUUAGCAAACAGCGAACCGUAAGUCACCUAUUCCAGUGAAAGCUUGACAUAGUCACAACGCUCAGCGCGAAUCGUAACCAUGAACUUCAGCAAAGUGUUUGCACUCGUUCUGCUCAUCGGGUUGGUUUUACUCACCGGGCAUACCGAAGCCGGUGGUCUGAAGAAGCUGGGGAAGAAAUUGGAAGGAGUCGGAAAACGUGUAUUCAAAGCUUCUGAGAAAGCACUUCCCGUUAUAACUGGUUACAAAGCCAUAGGAAAAUAGGAAACAUUAAUGAUGCUUUGUAAGACAUCAUGGAGGAAUUGUGAUAACUAACUACAUACAAAAUGUAUAAGACGCUCUCGAAAUGAAAUUAUUUAAUUUAAGCAUUGAAAUUAUAUUCAAAACUAUUAUGAAAAACAA